RNAcentral lists this ribosomal RNA (253 nucleotides) under uncultured bacterium. RNAcentral's name for it is "partial 16S ribosomal RNA". It matches the Rfam family "Bacterial small subunit ribosomal RNA", at positions 524 to 776 of the family's 1533-position model. The record is from RNAcentral.
UACAGAGGUCUCAAGCGUUGUUCGGAUUCAUUGGGCGUAAAGGGUGCGUAGGCGGCGCGGUAAGUCGGGUGUGAAAUCUCGGAGCUUAACUCGAAGUCUGCACGAGAAACUAUCUGGCUUGAGUGUGGGAGAGGUGAGUGGAAUUCCUGGUGUAGCGGUGAAAUGCGUAGAUAUCAGGAGGAACACCUGUGGCGAAAGCGGCUCACUGGACCACAACUGACGCUGAGGCGCGAAAGCUAGGGGAGCAAACAGG